AACCCAUGAUGAGAACACAUUCUCAAAAGAUCCUUAAAUUUCUCUCAUGCAUCAUAAUGUCUCCAUAUCAAAUUGAGAAAAAGAAGAGAUGUUGUUUCUCAACUU
Molecule: non-coding RNA, 105 nt
Organism: Gossypium arboreum
Lineage: Eukaryota; Viridiplantae; Streptophyta; Magnoliopsida; Malvales; Malvaceae
Source: Rfam